CUUCAACGAACCCAGCCACAGGGGCUGUUCGGGGGUCCGCUCCUGCCCGUACGUCGCGAUCAGGGCCUGCGCCUC
Streptomyces sp. CB01249 is the source of this 75-nucleotide non-coding RNA. It matches the Rfam family "ASpks TB sRNA". Lineage: Bacteria; Bacillati; Actinomycetota; Actinomycetes; Kitasatosporales; Streptomycetaceae. The record is from Rfam.